This 408-nucleotide ribosomal RNA is filed under the name uncultured bacterium. RNAcentral describes it as "partial 16S ribosomal RNA". It matches the Rfam family "Bacterial small subunit ribosomal RNA", at positions 28 to 526 of the family's 1533-position model. The record is from RNAcentral.
GACGAACGCUGGCGGCGUGCUUAACACAUGCAAGUCGAACGGAGUGGCGAACGGGUGAGUAACACGUGGGUGAUCUGCCUUGCACUUCGGGAUAAGCUCGGGAAACUGGGUCUAAUACCGGAUAGUGCAAGAUGAGCUCGCGGCCUAUCAGCUUGUGGGUGGGGUAAUGGCCUACCAAGGCAUCGACGGGUAGCCGGCCUGAGAGGGGGUACGGCCACAUUGGGCCUGAGUUACGGCCCAGACGCCUACGGUAGGCAGCAGUGGGGAAUAUUGCACAAUGGUGGGAAGCCUGAUGCAGCGACGCCGCGUGGGUGAUGAAGGCCUUCGGGUUGUAAACUCCUUUCGACAGGGACGCGGUACCUGUAUAAGAAGCACCGGCUAACUCCGUGCCAGCAGCCGCGGUAAUUC